Molecule: ribosomal RNA, 460 nt
Filed under: uncultured bacterium
Lineage: Bacteria
Description: partial 16S ribosomal RNA
Rfam family: Bacterial small subunit ribosomal RNA
Source: RNAcentral
CCUACGGGAGGCAGCAGUGAGGAAUAUUGGUCAAUGGGCGCGAGCCUGAACCAGCCAAGUAGCGUGAAGGAUGACUGCCCUACGGGUUGUAAACUUCUUUUAUAAAGGAAUAAAGUGAGGCACGUGUGCCUUUUUGUAUGUACUUUAUGAAUAAAGAUCGGCUAACUCCGUGCCACCAGCCGCGGUAAUACGGAGGAACCGAGCAUUAUCCGGAUUUAUUGGGUUUAAAGGGAGCGUAGAUGGGUUGUUAAGUCAGGUGGGAAAGUUUGCGGCUCAAACGUAAAAUUGCAAUUGAUACUGGCAGACUGUAGUAAAGUUGAGGUAGGCGGAAUUCGUGGUGUAGCGGUGAAAUGCUUAGAUAUCACGAAGAACUCCGAUUGCGAAGGCAGCCUACUAAACGGCAACUGACAUUGAUGCUCGAAAGUGUGGGUAUCAAACAGGAUUAGAUACCUCUGUAGUC